CGUACAGAAAUGUUUAUGGUGGGCUUGU
RNAcentral lists this non-coding RNA (28 nucleotides) under Homo sapiens (human). Lineage: Eukaryota; Metazoa; Chordata; Mammalia; Primates; Hominidae. The record is from RNAcentral.